GGGUGCGGGACCUGCUGUUUCCACGCACGGGGCUGGCUCCGGGAUCUCAGCUCAGAGAAGCCUCUGACCGCCUUGCAGGCCACGCCCCGUUAGGGAACCUGUCACGGUCACUGCCAUUCCCCAGGCCUCCUUGAGCGCCCACCGCGGGCCGGGCCUGUCCUGGGCUCCCAGCUCUGCCCUCACGGAGCUGACCGUUUUGUACAAAGCACAGCAACCAUUUACACAGCGCUCACUUCGUGCAGGCCCGUGGGUCCUCACAACCUCCAAAAAGGCGGCCCCGGGGUCGGGGAGACCUUCGGGAACAAGGGACCCUCUCGGACCUGAAGCUCGCUCGCAAGGCGCUGAGUGCAGAGUGAGGCCGGGUGCGGGCUGCGCCUUCUGAGAGGGAGGCAGUCCGCACAGUUCCGAGCAGAGGCGCGUAGGCCUCUGAAGGGUCCCUCGGGCUGCCGUGUGGAGUGUGGACUGCAGGAGGCUGGGGUGCUGAAUCACUUAGGAUGCAUUCAGAGGCGAACAACCCGCUUCCCAGCUAGCAGCAGCUUGCACGAUGCCAUUGUGAUCUCACUGAAUACGAAGCCACCAUCUCUCCUCCCUCCAAAAUCCCCACAUACACUUUCUGCCUUCCUGCCUGUUGCCUCAUGCCCCAGGGUGGCUGUCAUAGCACAGGGCAUCACACCGCUACACCAGCAUCUCAAACGGGAAGGAAGUGGCAGGUGUACAAAGGAUGACCACUUUGUGAAUCAGUUCCAGUUCCUGCGUCCUCCCCUUGUUCCUGCCAGCGGGGGAUGGCAUCACGCAGGCAUGGUGAAUCCUGGCCCUUGGGACUUCCCUGCGCCUUGCACAGAUCGCACAGAUUGUGGUAGAUGGUCCCUUGCAAGUGUCAUCCUGCCUGAUGCAUCACCACCGAGGAAGCGACCGAAGUCAGAGACAGAGGAUGCUGCCACUCCCCAAGAAUGAAGCCGGUAGGGGAUAUUAUUGGACUUCGUAUGUGAUGGCAAUGACUCAACAGAAAGAAAAAUUGCUGAUGCAAGAAAAAGAGUGUCUUGCCUCGUCCAGGCAAGAGGGCAUCAGACUUGGGACAGCUCACUCGAGGCAGGGAAAGAAAAGCGGGUCGCACGAUUGCAGGCACAGGGCUUCAUUCCCAUCACCUAGGCUGCAGUACAGGGGCAUGAUCUCGGCUCACUGCAACCUCCACCUCCUGGACUCAAGCAACCCUCCCAUUCCAGCCUCCCAGGUAGCAAGGACUACAGGCACACACCACCAUGCCAGGCUAAUUUUUGUUUGUUUGUUUUUGUUGAGACGGUGUUUCACCAUGUUGCCCAGGCUGGCCUCGAACUCCUGAGUUCAAGUGAUCUGCCCACCUUGGCCUCUCAAAGUGCUGGGAUUACAGGCACGAGCCACCACACUCAGCCUUCAUCAUCUAAUAAAAUCUAACCAAAUCCUUAUACCUUUAUCC
RNAcentral lists this long non-coding RNA (1453 nucleotides) under Homo sapiens (human). RNAcentral's name for it is "non-protein coding lnc-ZMYND19-3:2". The record is from RNAcentral. Lineage: Eukaryota; Metazoa; Chordata; Mammalia; Primates; Hominidae.